Long non-coding RNA from Malurus melanocephalus (red-backed fairy wren), 1561 nucleotides. RefSeq lists it as uncharacterized. Lineage: Eukaryota; Metazoa; Chordata; Aves; Passeriformes; Maluridae. The transcript is spliced from 4 exons. The record is from RefSeq and is a predicted model, not a curated record.
CAGCCAGGCCAGCAGUCAGUGGUGCUCUCGCUUGCAGCUCCUGGCUCUGCAGGCAUUUGUAGCUCACAAAAAUAGAGCAGGCGCUUGGUGCUACAAAUAAUAAUGGAGUGCUGAUGACGGAGAGAAUUUUAAGAUGGAAACAUUGCUUGGAGAGUUUUCUAAGGGAUUCUGAUCAACUUACAAGACGGGAAGGGAAGGCAAGACAAAGCAAGAUCAAGAUGCUGCACCGCUGGGCCAGAAGCGAGUGGAACAUCUUGUUACGGAAAUAGCCAUGAGAAUGCUCCUCCCUGCAUUAGAAAACCUGCUAUUUAAAGCAGGAUCGACUGCUAGUCCUCCUUGCUGCUGUUGUAAUUUGGAUAUUGUGGCAUGUGCARAUAAUAUUUCCUCAUGAAAGGAAACUUCCAGCAAUGACAGUGCUCCUUUGGCAUAUCCUCUCCCAAAGGGGAGAAAUCCACUCGUCCCUGGAAAUGGCAUCUCCCUCUGAAAACAAACUACAGGAUCUGUGGAAUUUUUUUUCCCCUCUAAGACUUUAGGCAAAUGAAUUUUGACCCACAAAUGCCAUCAGGGUGGUGCAAAUGYGGCACAAUUUCCUAGAUGUGUUUGGGCACAUGGGAGAGUUCUCUUAAAGCAAAAAUACAUGGAGAAAAUGAACAAACCUAUGUGACUUGAAAAAAAGCUCACUUUCCCCCAAGAUAUGCAUAAUAAAACUGGCAAUACACGCCUUUGAAAGAGAUAUUGCUUUACCUUUAAUGAUGUCAGUGAGCAAAAAUCCUUUUAUUCUUGGCUAAUCACAGUGGGGUGAUACCUUUCAAAUACUGGGAUUAUCAAACRUAGAUUUUUCAGGGAGGCGAACCCAUGCUUGGCUUAAGCGCCCUCAAACUUUUCUCAAGUUGAGAUCCACAUCUGUAUCCCAGCUCUACGGCUCAAGCCUGCUGCUGUUUGUUAUUGUUUGCAUUACUUCAGGGCCCACUUAGGGAUUGUACAAAAUGUUCUUUUAAAAAAAAAAUAAAUAUUGAAGUGUUCGUACAGCAUUUGAGAGAAGCACAUUCCUUUUGUGAGGUGCUGCCAUCUGAUCACUACAGAAGUACAGAAAAGAAAUCUCGGGGGCACGUAGGGCGCUGAAGCUUGGGGAAUAAAUGUUUUUUCAGUGUUAGGGGCUAGGAGUCAUCCUCAUUUCCAUGUAAGCCCCUGUGCAAAGUGAAGGGAGUGCAUGAGACAUUUGAGGAGCAUUCUUAUGUCCCAUGUAAGUGAACUUAAAGAACUCACUGGCACAGGGCUUGRAAGAGAAUUAGGCCACCCGAUCCUGAAUUUUAGAGGUGAGGAUCUCUUAUCAUUCUAACAAGUCCUAGAAAAKAAAGAGUUUUUGAGAARCCCUGUUGCUGAGCCCUGACGGCUGUGAAGAUACAGCUGAGUUGAUGGAGAUGUCAGAGAUAGAGAUCAUCCUCUUGUCUCUCCUAUAUUUAUCUCCUUUCCUCCAAACUCCUUGUUUUAUUUUUAUUGGGAUUUUCUUCAGAUGAACCCUAUUAAACGCAUCACUAGCRUUGAAAUUUGCCGAUGCCAA